Aedes albopictus (Asian tiger mosquito) is the source of this 58-nucleotide non-coding RNA. The record is from Rfam. Lineage: Eukaryota; Metazoa; Arthropoda; Insecta; Diptera; Culicidae.
UAGCCUAGUGGUUAAGGCUAUGGAUCGCCAAUCCAGAGAUGGCGGGUUCGAUUCCCGU